Molecule: long non-coding RNA, 1519 nt
Filed under: Homo sapiens (human)
Lineage: Eukaryota; Metazoa; Chordata; Mammalia; Primates; Hominidae
Description: HSALNT0405303
Source: RNAcentral
GCUACGGCGGAUAUGGCUGCAGAGCGGCCGGCUGGGAUCUUAGAUAGGAGGGGUGGAUUUGCAAGGCCUAGAAUAGCUGGGGAGUGGUUUCCCCGCGGAAUCGGCCUCCCUGCCGCUCCUGCUUUGUACUGUGACGCUCAGCCUGUGAUGACUGGUGUGGAAUCCGCUGAGCCACCUUGGCCUAAGGAGACUUUACCACUCUGAGAUUGUAAAUCUGUAAAAUAGAGAUGUAGGAUUAGCCCAUACGGUAGUUGUGGUAAAUACUGUGAGACAAUAAGGGGCCUGGGACACAGCAUUCAAAUGGGAAUAAUGAAGGUCAAGACUGUGAUUCCUGUAUCUUUGACGCUCUCGGUAUAAGCACCGUCGUGGGCACAGGGCAGUGGCCUUUAUGCAGGAGUUUAAGAGGGAAUGAAGGAAUGAAUGGGCAAACUCUGGAGUUCCCAAGUAUUCUCUCCAGGAGCUGUUUCCAUUCUUUUCGUUUCCAGCAGAUUCAAGAGGCAAUUGUUGGAAUGUAAAAAGAGCACGGGACUUGGAGUCAAAUACUUAAGUCUACCAUCAAGUAGUUGUUAAGAAUUAAACAACAAUUUUUGUGUACCCAGUUAAAUGUGGGCUGCUUAGGAAUGAUGACUGUGUCUUAAUGAUCUCUGUAUUCUUAGUGACAUGUAGAAUCAUUGUGCCUGACACAUAGUAUGUACUCAGGAAAGAAAUGGAAAAUGUGGUUUUAGCAUUGAAGGCCGGGAGAGAGGGUCUAACAGACUACAAGCCCUGCCAGGAGCAGAGUAAGGGAAACAGAGGAGAAAAGUGUUUUUAGUCUGUGCCUGAAUGUAUUUACAUCUGUUUGUAGCCCAAAAGCCAAAAGCAUACAUACGCUUGGCUUUUCUGUAGCUAUGUUUAUGGCUUUACAGCAGAUUUUAUGGAGCUGCAAUUACUUUGAUCAUGAGGGACUGAUGCUAGUGGAUUUACUUCACCAAAUGGAACUCACUUUGUGGCUUCUGAAGAAGGGACCUUUGUGGACUGUCAUGGAGUAGUUAAGAGUGCAGGCUCUGAUUUAGUGAUCAGAGUCUGCAUUGUCAGGAAUGGGACAAAGUGAAGUUAUGUGGCACUUGAUAGGAUGCCCUGAGAAGAUUGCAACAUCACCCCUGUGAUAUUCCUGCUGAAGAUCCAUAACCUGGAUGUAAUCAUGAGGAUAUAUCAGACAAACCCACGUAAAGAGACAUGCUGUAUACAAAACUGUAAUCUUAGAAAGUGCCAAGGUCAUGAAAAUCAAAGAUAGACCCUGGAACUGUUCCAAACUGGAGGGGACCAAAGAGGCAUGACAACUAAACACAACACAUGAUUCUGAACUGGAUCUUUUUGCUUGAAAGGAAGUUACAGGGACAGUUGGAAAAGUUUAAAUGGGGCCUACAAUGCCGUGGUAAUGAUGUGUCCGUGUUAAUUUCCUGAUUUUCAUGGUUGCCUGUUAAGUUACAUCAGAGGAUGUUCUUGUUUGCUGGAAAGUAAAUCAAUGUAUUUGGCAGGG